RNAcentral lists this transfer RNA (74 nucleotides) under Brevundimonas phage vB_BgoS-Bajun. RNAcentral's name for it is "tRNA-Gly". It matches the Rfam family "tRNA". Rfam says of the family: Transfer RNA (tRNA) molecules are approximately 80 nucleotides in length. Their secondary structure includes four short double-helical elements and three loops (D, anti-codon, and T loops). The record is from RNAcentral. Lineage: Duplodnaviria; Heunggongvirae; Uroviricota; Caudoviricetes.
GCGGCCGUAGCCAAGCGGUAAGGCACCGGAUUUCCACUCCGGCAGCGCGGGUUCGAUCCCCGCUGGCCGCUCCA